UACGAAGGGGGCGAGCGUUGUUCGGAAUUACUGGGCGUAAAGGGCGCGCAGGCGGCCUUUCAAGUCAGAUGUGAAAGCCCCGGGCUCAACCUGGGAAUGGCAUUUGGGACUGGAAGGCUCGAGAUCGGGAGAGGUGGGUGGAAUUCCCAGUGUAGAGGUGAAAUUCGUAGAUAUUGGGAAGAACACCGGUGGCGAAGGCGGCUCACUGGACCGAUACUGACGCUGAGGCGCGAAAGCGUGGGGAGCAAACAGGAUUAGAUACCCUGGUAGUCCACGCUGUAAACGAUGUGUGCUAGACGUUGGGGGACCUAGUCCUUCGGUGUCGCAGCUAACGCGGUAAGCACACCGCCUGGGGAGUACGGCCGCAAGGUUAAA
This 375-nucleotide ribosomal RNA is filed under the name uncultured bacterium. Its description in RNAcentral is "bacterial SSU rRNA". It matches the Rfam family "Bacterial small subunit ribosomal RNA", at positions 524 to 898 of the family's 1533-position model. The record is from RNAcentral.